This 1953-nucleotide long non-coding RNA is filed under the name Capsicum annuum. Its description in RNAcentral is "long non-coding RNA (CANN_LNC002049)". The record is from RNAcentral. Lineage: Eukaryota; Viridiplantae; Streptophyta; Magnoliopsida; Solanales; Solanaceae.
UUAUUGUCAUUUUAUCUUCUGGUUUCUCUAUAUCUUCAUCUCUUGUUCACUCCGUCUCUCACUUUUCUCUAAACCAAUCUUUUUAGUUUUCUAUUCUUUUUCUUCUUCAAUGGCUAAAACCCUAAAUAUUCCUCUUCAGCCCCUAGAAAGAGCUCUCGUUUCAAGGUAAAGCCUCUUCUAUUGUUCCUAUUGACUCUGAAUAUUUUGAGUAAAAUUUUCUUUCAGCCUCUAUUGGUUCUUAUGGUUCUAUACCAGGUACACGAUCUGAUGUUGUCGCUGUUUCUGAUUUCCCUAAGAAGAAGAUGAAAUUUUAUUUUGAUAGUUCUUUCAAUGACAUAUGAUUUUGGUGACCUUCUAAUGAAUCCUUGUUCUAUUCUCUAAAAUAACUUCCACUUGAAUGUGGAAGACUUGUUGAUUCAGAUUUACUUGAAUCAAUGCAUUGCCUGACUAAGCCUUUAUUUGAAGCGCAAGGAUGGACAAAUACCUUUACUUUACUCCUAAGGGUUGCUUAUGCACCCCUUAUUCGAUUGUUCUAUGAUAAUCUUUGGUUUUUCUGUGUUGGAAACUCUUAUCAUGAGUACACAUAUUUUCUUAAUUUAUGCUAUGUUUUACUCCUCUAAGUGUCCUUGGCCUUCAGAUUUUGAUGUCCUUUUUAAUCAGAAAAAUGAUUCAUUAUUGUGGAAUCUUAUGAUAACUUGCCUGUGCUCUUGGGCCUAAAAAUCUAUCAUUUGAGACCCCCAGUUGUUGCUCAUAUUAUGGCUACCACCCUCCUCCUUCGUGGAAGUUCUUUCUCUACUCUCUUUUAACGUUAAACUUUGUUAACCUGCUAUCUCUUAUCACGGCGGAAGAUCAAACUUUCCUUCUUUGAUAUUAACUACUCCCUCCGUUUGAAAAAUGAAUGACCUACUUUUCUUUUUAGUUCAUUUAAAAAGAAAUGAUUGCUUUCUCUUUUUUGACAGUACUUUAAUUUCAACUUUCCAUAUAGCAUGUUUAGGACCACAAGAUUAAAUGACAUUUUGGUACAUUUAACACAACUAUAAUUUAAGGCCACAUUCUUUAUUUUCUUAAAUUUUGUGUCAAGUCAAAAUAGGUUAUUCUUGAGGUAGUGUAUGAUUGAAGCUUUUUUGAAUUCUUCUCAUCUCCUAUAUGGUUUAGUUAUCACUCGUAUACUUGAAGCCUACCAUAUCCCUCUGGAAGAUGUUUACUCCGUUCUUGUCAAGCAGUGGUACAACUCUACAACUUUUAAAAGCAUAAUAUGUUUUGACUGAUAGGGUUUGUGCUCUCAAGACUGAAAGUUGUGGUCCUAGCACUCUCUCUUCUCCUAAGUCAAGAAACUUCUCUUCUCUUAAUCUUAAUUCAUUUUCUGUUCCCUGAGAUGUUUCUGAUCGUUUGAAUAACAUUGAUGCAAGACUAAAUGGUCUCACAGAUCUUGUUCUUGGCACUCAUUUUCAGAUGGAGAAAAUUUGGGAGUCUCAAAGAAAACUAGUGCUGACGUUGGUUUCAUGCAUAUCAAAUUGAAUCAAGUAAUUCAUGAGGCCAUUAAACUUGCUACUAAGAUUCGCCCUAGUACUGAUGCUAUCUCCACUGUGAUUACUACUCAGUUCACAAACCUGAAGGAUGCCACAAUAAAAAACUAGGCUUAUUUUCUUUGUCUCGGAGAAUGCUAAAUCCCCUCUACAUGUUUCUUAUUCCCGACCCUUGUGUUGCUCGUUUAAGAUAACUUUUUUGGUUUUGGUCCUGUAAUUAAGCAUAAGCUCACUGUUGCUACGUUACUUGCAUGUUUUGCUAGUUGUUCUCUAUUUAUUUUGCAUACUCUGUUAUUCUUCCUUUCUGAUAGAUGUCAAAGGAGAAAAAAUAGAAAACUUAUUUACAGGUAUAAACACAAGUCGAAUAGUUCGGCUAUCUAGGGGGGACUACUCAGGGGGGAGUUAAAAUGGGGGAAGUGGCUACACC